GGAAACUGCGUCCUGAUUUGCAUCAUCCUUUAAAAACUUAUACAGAUGGAAAAGAAGCAGAGGUGAAGACAGAGAGAAAGCAGAAGGACAAUUAUUUCUGUCUUCACACUCAAGAGACUAGAGGCUCUAGGAAACUGAAGUAAGAAUGGAUGAGCUGUUUUUUGUGAUCCUCCUCUCUACAGGUUUUUGUGCCACCACUUCAUAUAUGUUUUUUAACUAUCCAAUGACCUGGCAUGAUGCAAAAAGUUACUGCUUUGAUGGUAGAACUACGCUGGUUCAAACAGAUGAUGUGUUCCACUCAAACUGGAAAAAUUCAGAAUACUCCAAGGCCUGGAUAGGACUGAUUACCAACACCUCUGUAUGGCACCACAUAAGCAACGAAACGGCUCAAUAUUUCAACUGGAGCUCCGGUCAGCCAGACAACCUCCUCAGUGAACUGUGUGUGUCUAUGACUGAAGUUGGAGAUUGGUAUAAUUGCAACUGUUCUGAACUUAAACCGUCUAUUUGCUAUGACGGUAGGUUAAAAAAAAAAACUGGGUUAAAAAUUUGGAAUGCAUUGAA
Molecule: long non-coding RNA, 561 nt
Organism: Cyprinodon variegatus (sheepshead minnow)
Lineage: Eukaryota; Metazoa; Chordata; Actinopteri; Cyprinodontiformes; Cyprinodontidae
Exons: 3
Source: RefSeq, a predicted model, not a curated record